CAUUAACUCCAUGCGCCCCAUCACCCCUAACAUAUUUUUCCAGCACAAAGAAUCUCUGGAAACAGACUAAUCUGGUAUUUGCUGAUCAAACGCCAGCCAAGAAAUGUCAGGUUGCUGCAAACGCUCCCUGUCCCCACCAGCCCUUCCCUCCUUCUCCCCUUCCCUCCUUCUCCCCAGUCCCACCUCACAUGGGGGCUCUUUGUAAGAAAGCAGGUAGCCCACGCCCAACCCCGAGCCCUUCCCUGCCUGUGUGCCGGUAGUCAAAGGGACCACCCUCAUUUCUGCGGGUCACAAAAUAGGGGUACCUGCCCCCUCGGUUCCCCCUCUGAACCGGGGUCUCCAGGUGGAGGGUCGUCACACAGAUAUCACUGCAAGUAAUUUCUCCUGUUCACCUGAGCUGAGCCAUGAGCCCAGGAGAAGGGGACCCGGAAUCUGGCGACCGUCAGAGCUGGAGAGGGCACCUCAGAUUUUUCCAGGUCUCCUCGUUAUUCAGAUAAAGGAGCAAGGCCAGAGUGGGGUCGCCUCUGGAGGGCCGGCACGGGCACCCGGAGCUGUCCAAACCCAGACGUCAGUGCAGAGGGCAGAAGGAGGUGGGACAGGAACAGAGGCAGAGGGACAGAGGAACCUUCUGGGUGUUCUUUUCUCCGUUUUCUGAGUUCUUUAGAAGAGGAUUUUUAACAAUACAAAGGAUCAUAAAGAGCGUCUGGGGGAAAGAUGAACGAUAUCAGAAGCAAGGAGAGACAGAGAAAGAGGACUGCAGAAUCUAUUUUGAGUAGACUGGGAAGAAAGACCCGAAGAAAAGAGAGGAGGGGACAUCAAGGGAGAGACGGAGGGAAGAUCCGACACCGGCCUUGUGGUCCAGCAGGGAAACUGAGGCAGCAGCAGGACUCAGACAGGCUCAACUUCAAGGUCCGCCGAGGGGCCCGAGGACGGAAGGUGUCUGUCCCCAUCCUACCCAUCCUUCCAGCUGUAACCCAAGAGGAGAAGGACAGCGGAAGCGGGAUGUGACCUUCCGGAUCCCUGAAAUGGAAAAUCCCAAGUGUGGGCCCGGAGGGGGCCAGUUAUUUGGGGAAUUCAGGCAUGAGCCCUGAGCCCUGAGAGUGGAUUUGCUGGCACAGAGGUCCGUAAUCCCUCCGGAGGGAGUUCCCUCUGGGGCCAGAGAGGACCCAGCCCAGCGAGCGGGCACAUCAGGCCUCUGGAGCCGAGGCCCCAUCCUCUCCCUCCUUCCCUCCCGGCUUGUCUGGGCUCAGGGCUCCCAGACCUGCUCUCCCUCCCCCUGCUGGCUUCCCUCCACU
This 1295-nucleotide long non-coding RNA is filed under the name Felis catus (domestic cat). Its description in RNAcentral is "lncRNA (ENSFCAG00000049008.1)". Lineage: Eukaryota; Metazoa; Chordata; Mammalia; Carnivora; Felidae. The record is from RNAcentral.